This is a non-coding RNA of Phascolarctos cinereus (koala), 1576 nucleotides long. NCBI's taxonomy places the organism in Eukaryota, Metazoa, Chordata, Mammalia, Diprotodontia, Phascolarctidae. The record is from RefSeq and is a predicted model, not a curated record.
UCCAGGUAGCCUAAGAUUCCUAGACUUCAGAUUCCUGGCUGCUGAAAUCUGUCUCCUUUUCUCUAUUCAGGAGUUCCCGAGAAUGAUCUUUCAUUGCCUUGAGGGCAAGUAAAGAACAAGGAUUGGCUGACGUUAUCUGUCCCUCUGGCCUCAGCCUAGUGGCUACUGAGUUAAAGUUGAACGCAGUAAGUGGAGACAGACUGAUGAUGGUUGGUGGCGGCAGUCACAUGACGGCCACCCGAAAAUCCUUUGGCAGGCCCAUAUGUUGUGCAGGCCUGGUUUAGUGGCUUGCUGUUGAUUUGGAAGGGAGUCUCUAGCAGAGAGACUCCACAUCCAGAAGGCUAUGACCAAAAUGAAGAAGAGCCUUCGGAUCAUGCCAUAUGAAGACUGGCUGAAGAGGUUAUUGAUACUGAGAUAUCGAGACUAAAAAACAGAACACUUGGGAGAAGCCACGAUGGUUGUCUUAAGAGGAAGAAACUCGGUUCCAAAGUGACUUGUGGAAGAUACAGAAGAAGAAGAAAAAAAGGAUGGGAAAUCGUCUCUUGACCACUGCAAGAGGAACUAUGAAUCCUUUAUGACCUUUGAAUGGGACCAGAAGAAACAGACAUAAAAAUGUAGGGCUUCUUCUCCCCAGAGACACAUGGCCGGUUGCAAAGUAAGUGUGUUAUCCUCCUUGCAUUCUAGCUGCUGAGUGAGGGGACAAAGCCAGAAUGAAGACCUUAGAAAAAGGGCCUUGGAACCAUGUGAUUUAGCAAGGGCUGACACAUAGUAAAGUGUUUAAUAAAUACUUCGGUGACUUGAUUUGUUGAUUGGACUCGAGAAACAGCUACCAUUAAAGUUGAGCAGGAUUUCUCCAUUUCUACUGGACCUUAUUCCUUCAUGCAGCAGUCCGCCCCUGGUGGGCACAGACUUGGAUAAAAUGUGGGAGAAAUGCAAAUUUGCCCCCAGUUAUAAGGAGAUGCCAGAAAUCAAGGAAAAGAGUAAGACGAGCUCUCAGGAAAUGUGAACCAUGGCAAGAAGAGUUACAGCAAAAGGACGCAAGAAUAUUUCCUCUUCCCUCUGCUUUCCUUACAGUCAUAUCACUUUUUACUGUGACUUUUUAUUUCUGAGCCCAAAGUGCUUUGGUCUGGAAGAUAGCAAAAGAGUCAUAGAUACAAAGCUAGAGAUUAGGAGUGGGGCCAUUGCUUUCUUUGGAUGGCUCUUUCCUAAUUUGCCCCUCCCCUCUCUCCCAUCUUUCCAGUCUUCUCAUACCUUAAUCCCACAACAUACUCUGCAAUUCAGUAACACUGAUGUCCUUGCUGUUCCUGGAGUAAGACACCCUCUCUCCUGAUUGAUUCCAGGCAUUUUCAUUAGCUGUACCCUGUGCUUAGAAUAUUCUCCAUCUUCAUCUCUGCCUUCAAUGAAUAACUUCCUUCAAGAUCCAACUAAAAUCUCACCUCUACAGGAAACCAUUCUCAACCUCCCUUAAUUCCAGUGCCUUGCUCCUAUUGAUUAUUUGCAAUUUACCCUGCAUAUAGCUGGUUUAUACAUAACCAUUUGCAUGUUAUCUCCCCCAUUAGGCUGUGAGCUCCUUGAG